RNAcentral lists this ribosomal RNA (250 nucleotides) under uncultured bacterium. RNAcentral's name for it is "partial 16S ribosomal RNA". It matches the Rfam family "Bacterial small subunit ribosomal RNA", at positions 524 to 773 of the family's 1533-position model. The record is from RNAcentral.
UACAGAGGGUGCGAGCGUUGUCCGGAAUCACUGGGCGUAAAGGGCGCGUAGGUGGCUUGCCAAGCGUGUGGUGAAAGCCCGGAGCUCAACUCCGGGUCGGCCAUGCGAACUGGCGGGCUAGAGCACGGUAGAGGCCAAUGGAAUUCCGGGUGUAGCGGUGGAAUGCGUAGAGAUCCGGAAGAACACCGGUGGCGAAGGCGGUUGGCUGGGCCGUUGCUGACACUGAUGCGCGACAGCGUGGGGAGCAAAC